This 468-nucleotide ribosomal RNA is filed under the name uncultured bacterium. Its description in RNAcentral is "partial 16S ribosomal RNA". It matches the Rfam family "Bacterial small subunit ribosomal RNA", at positions 28 to 507 of the family's 1533-position model. The record is from RNAcentral.
GACGAACGCUGGCGGCGUGCUUAACACAUGCAAGUCGAACGGAAAGGCCCUGCUUGUGUGGGGUGCUCGAGUGGCGAACGGGUGAGUAACACGUGAGUAACCUGCCCUUGACUUUGGGAUAACUUCAGGAAACUGGGGCUAAUACCGGAUAGGAUCUCCUGCUGCAUGGUGGGGGUUGGAAAGUUUCGGCGGUUGGGGAUGGACUCGCGGCUUAUCAGCUUGUUGGUGGGGUAGUGGCUUACCAAGGCUUUGACGGGUAGGCGGCCUGAGAGGGUGACCGGCGACAUUGGGACUGAGAUACGGCCCAGACUCCUACGGGAGGCAGCAGUGGGGAAUAUUGCACAAUGGGCGGAAGCCUGAUGCAGAAACGCCGCGUGCGGGAUGACGGCCUUCGGGUUGUAAACCGCUUUCGCCUGUGACGAAGCGUGAGUGACGGUAAUGGGUAAAGAAGCACCGGCUAACUACGUG